CGGUACACCAUCUGCGAAAACGCCCAGCCCGAGCCUCGGGUUGGCUGAGAAGCGGCCAAAGUCGAUGGCUGUACCGGUACAGCCAUCACUCCCGUACCGGUACACAGCCCUCUGAAGGCAACCCGAGAGCUAACCAAAAAUCCGAUUUUUCGGGUUUUCGUGCUCGGCUUUAAACCUCACUUCUCGGGAUGCGAGCCAUAGGUCGGAACACUGUCAACGACCCACCAGAAAAUCUGGAAUUGCUCAGCACACAGCUCGAACACUCGAACCUCGCAAUUUGCAAAGGUCCAGUGUGUUACAGCCUUCUUAGUAUACGAUUUCUUUGAGGGACAAUCCGUUGCGAUGUGGCCGUAGCCUUUGCACUUGUAGCAUCGGAUUUCACCUUCAAAGUCAUCCUUUUCUUUCGAAGUCUUUGCACGCUUCUUCUUUUUAGAUGUAGAAGAUUUAGAAAACGUUUGUAGCUUAGAAGCCUUGUCCGAAUUGUUCUUCUUUCAGAAAUUUCGACGAAACUUCUUCGUUAGGAGCGCCAAUUGAUGUUCGAAGUCGGCAAUUGAGAUCUCUCCAUCGGAAUUCAAGUCUCCGUCUUCCUCGUUCGUCAAUUUCAACGCAACCCCUGUGCUUUUAGAGAAAGACUUGGAAGAAGAUUGAUUAGUAGGAAAAGUCAUCUUAUAAGUUUGCAAAGCACCUACUAAUUCUUCGACUUUUAUCUCGUCAGGAUGCUUAACCGUUUCGAUCGCGGCAACCUUUGCCCAAAAGCAUUCCGGAAGAGUUCGAAGAAUCUUUCUAAUAACCUUUGCAUCCGGAAUUUUCUCUCCCAAGUUAGCACAUGUAUUCACAACGUCUUGUAGACGUGUAUGGUACUCGGCAAAGGUCUCGUUUUCAUCCAUAGAAAUAGAAUCAAACUUGCUUGUUAGUAUUUCCAAUUUUUGGACCUUUACUAAGCUCGUUCCUUCAUGCGUAACUUGUAAAGUACUCCAAAUUUCCUUCGCCAUUUCGCAUGCCGAAACACGAGUAAACUCGGUUUGAGACAAUGCAUUAAAUAAAGCGUUUAUGCCCUUGAUGUCUCGUUUUCUUCUUUCGUCCACUUGUUCCAUGGUUUUGGCAUUUCAACAUUCUCGACUUUUUCAAUAGGAUGUUUUCAUCCAAAUUCGAUUGAUUGCCAAACGCGCUCAUCAAUUGCAAUUAGAAAAGCUCUCAUGCGAACUUUUCAAUAGGCAUAAUUUGUGCCGUCGAGGAGCGGUGGUCGAUUAAUGUUUCCACCUUCGGCCAUUAGAUAACAAUUUAUCUAGAUCCGGCUCUGAUACCAAUUGAAAGUUUUGAGGAGCCCAAGGAUCUAUCUAGAUUGUAUCUAUCACCUAGAGGGGGGUGAAUAGGUGAAAGUAACCAAAAACCACAAAUCUCNAUUUAAAAUCCGGUAUGUUACAUUCCACCGCAACCGCACCAGAACCAUUUAAAUGUACACCGUGACUUCAUAAUUUUCGAAGUUCGGUAUGUUACAUAUAUAGUGUUGUAACAAUUGCACUUAAGCCCCCCCACUUGUUUCCUUUUGAACUGCCCAGACUGGGCUUUUUUCGCCUUCGGGGACCGGUCUCCCCGACCAGGGACCGGUUCCCGAACGGGGGUUUUCCAGAACUUAGCCAAAUUUUCGAGUUUUUCAGCUGUUGCGCAGCGAGGGACCGGUCUCCCCGUCAGGGACCGGUCUCCCGAGGACCGGUCUCACCACCAGGGACUGGUUGCCUCAGGACUUCCUGGCAGGCUACGCGUACGGGGACCGGUCUCUCCUUCAGGGACCGGUCCCCGAGAGCACAAAAUCUGGGACUUAGCCAGAUUUUCAGAUUACUCUCUCGGGUCCCUUCUAGCUUCACUUAUGGACUCUAAUAUGCUUAGGGUCCACUCAAACUCGUUCAAUUCCGCGUUCCGCUCAUUUUGACGGAACUCGGCACGAUUUACGAGGGAUGUGGUAUGUUACACUUUACCUUAGCCAACUAUGCCAUCCGACUCGGUCUUGAGUCAAUCAACUGCGGAUAGUCCGCGCUCUGUCCGGCUCGAGGUGAAGGAACUCUCACAUGCACCUCAGCCUUCAAUCACAAACCACAUCGCCCAGCGGGUCGCCCAGAGCUGCGUACACCCGUGGUCAGGGAUCUUCCGGUGGGAGAGGAACAUGCCGCAUACACCUGUAGCCGAUGUAACACACUGGACCUUUGCAAAUUGCGAGGUUCGAGUGUUUGGAUGUAUUUCGAGCUUUUCCAAACUUGGUGGAGGGUUGUAGAAUAUUUUCCGACCUAAAAAGUUCGUAAACCCGAGUUUUGGUUUGGUCCUGAGAGUUUUUACUCUCGGGUACCGGUCCCUGAAAGGAGAGACCGGUUCCCCAGUGAGCAGUGUUGCGACAGCCUUGAGGCAACCGGUCCCUGACAGGCGAGACCGGUCCUCGAGCGCGCCUUCGCAGUGAGAGACCGGUCCCACGCAGGGAGAGACCGGUUCCCGAACAUUGAUUUUUCGGGUUCGCAGCGAGAGACCGGUCCCUGCUGGGGAGAGACCGGUCCCUCUGGGCGAAAACUGCCCAGUUCGGGCUGAUGUAAAUUUGAGUUUUUGAGGGUUCUCUCCGGAUUUUGUUACACUAGAUGGGCUUAUUAGCCAUUUCCUCCUCUUCUCUCUCUCAUUUUCUCAUUCUCACCCUCUCCCUACACCUUCUAGAGAGAGAAGAAGAAGAAGAAGGAGGAGAAGAAGAAGAGGAGCUUGCUUGAGGGAGCUUGGAGCUCAACCUCUUUCUCUCCUUUCCACCCUUGCAAGGCUUAGAGCUUGCUUGUAGAGCUUGGUGGAGGACCAAUCUUCAACCCUAGAAGAUUUGGAGCUUGCUUGGAGGCAUCUUGGGAGGUUAGUACUUGGAUUCUACCCUUGAUCUUGAUUUGGUAGGUUUUACCAUUUGGAACCCUAGAAUUGGUAUUAGGGUUGAUUUUUUUUUGGGCUUUUUGAUCUAGGGCUUUUGAGGCUAGAUUGAUUGGAUUAGAACCUUCCUUGGGCUUGGAUUGGAAGGGAUUUAGCUCUCUUUUGGAGCUUGAGAGAGAUUUCCUACACAUUAGGUGAGUUUUAGCCCUUUUGCUAAGUUUGUAAGAGUUUGAUCUUAUAGUUGAUCGUAAUGCCCGUGUAUCUCUUCGCUCGAUACUUUUAGGGUAUUUUGAGACUCGUGGACAACUCCGUUCGGCGAAUCGAAGGAGCACGCGACGGUUCGGUGGGUUUGACCUAGCCACACAAUGAGAAAAUCUCAUUGUUGAUGAUUUAAGUGUUAUAAAAUGAAAAAGCAUGCAUAUUCUUGUUAUAUGUAUUUAUUGUGAAUUUUAGAAUGCUUAAAAUGCCUAUGUUGCAUAUAGUAAAAUUUUGGGCCUCUAUGUAGUAGAGAGCAUGCAUGUGUGAUAUAGCAUUCUGGUUGAGAUUUGAAAACUAAAAUUCCUAUUAUGAAAAUGAAUCUUGCUUUCAUGCAUUUAGCUUAUUUGCCAAUUGUGACAUUAGGGAUUUUUGGAAGCCUAGAGAGGCUUGAGGACUUAGACUAUUUGAGAGAUUGGGCCAAUGUCAUAAAGAGGCAUUGGGCCCGGGCUAAAGUGAACCUUGCUAGUAUUGUUUUAAUUGGAAUAUGGAACAUGAAUUGGGCAUGAUUAGUUGUGAUGCUUAAGUGUCAUAAAGAGGCACUAAGCAAGUGUGUGCGUUGGAGCGUCACUUUGAGACUUUGGACUAGAUCCUUGGGAUGCUAGUGACCUUGCCAGGUGAGAGGCAUGAGAGUAGAGUACUUGAGACUUUGACCUUGCUUGUUUGCCAUUUGUGCUCAUUCGCACAUGCUUGUGAGGGUCGCUCCCUACAAGCCGGCACUCCGGAGUUAGCCUACGCGACUUAUGUUCGCUCGUGCGGUAUUGAGAAGCCUACGGGGUCGAGUGGGACAGACACAUUCCCAGAGUAGGGAUGUCGAGCUACCACAGGCACUUAGGCGGCACAAGCUGGACUACCUUUGGUAGGUCCUUAAUUGGAAAUGGAAAUCGACACGGUGUUAAGAUUGAAUAAUCACUGGUAGAUAGGCUUAGUAGUUGGGUUACUUGACACGCUCAUGACAUAGCAUUGGGAUACAUAUAGUAUACUUGCCUGUUUUAUUCAUUGUGUCAUAGUAUACUGGGUCGCAUGAUAGAGCUCAUUCUUUAUGCAUGACAUCUUGGACAGUAGCGUUUACAUGUUGCCAUCGGACGUACUUGUUUAUGCUAGAGUAGAUGUACAUCAUACUUACAUCAUGCUUUCAUAUAUGCUUUCUUUCAGCAGUAUUGUACACGCUCUUUAUUGCUUAUUACUAUUGUCGUUACUUACCCUUUUCUUUUGGGGCCUAGUGGUGCAUUAAGCUGAGGUCAGUAAUUGGCCACUGGGAACUAUAAAUUAUAGUUCUCACGCCCCCUGUUUUGUGUUUUCUUUCAGAGCCUUCCACGCCGGGAGAGGCUAGGGACCGAGGGAAGGGCGUGGCUUCGAGCUAGCUCUUCAGCGAGUGACGAGUCGCUAGGUGGUCUACCUCUCGAUGUUUUUAUUUUGUGAGAGAUUGAGAGUUGUACCCGUAUAUGUAUAGAGACCACCUUUCUUUUGGAUUUUGGUAUUUCUUUUGAGGAGUUAGUAUUGUAUCACCUUAUGCUUUACUUUCCUUGUCUAGUUAUAUUUCUUUUACUCUGGUUUAGAUGAUAGAACUUUACUCGCUCUGAUAU
RNAcentral lists this long non-coding RNA (4727 nucleotides) under Ananas comosus (pineapple). RNAcentral's name for it is "long non-coding RNA (ACOM_LNC010291)". The record is from RNAcentral. Lineage: Eukaryota; Viridiplantae; Streptophyta; Magnoliopsida; Poales; Bromeliaceae.